Long non-coding RNA from Anguilla rostrata (American eel), 283 nucleotides. RefSeq lists it as uncharacterized. The record is from RefSeq and is a predicted model, not a curated record. NCBI's taxonomy places the organism in Eukaryota, Metazoa, Chordata, Actinopteri, Anguilliformes, Anguillidae. The transcript is spliced from 2 exons.
UCUCCUUCCCGGUCGCCUUGGUGUCUCCGUGGAUGGCGAACUUCUUAAAGGACUCCAGGAGCAGCGCAGUGUCCGAGCUUUCUGCCAUCCUGACAAAUCCCGGUAAAAAAAUCGAGAUUUUUUUUUCUUGCUGUAAGAAAAACCGUGAACGCUGGGUCCGCCUGCUUCGCCUGUGUCCCCGGCAACAGAAAAGCCCGCUUUAAAGGCCAGAGGCUUAUUAUCUUCUGUUUACGCCCGUAUCCAUAGAGACAUCCUGUUUGACAUCAAGGGAGCGCAGUAAAAA